GAAGGGAGACACCUGAGAUAUAGGUAAGGGGAGACACGUAAGAGACACAAGUGAGGGAAGACACAUGAGAUACAGGUGAAGGGAGACACCUGAGAUAUAGGUAAGGGGAGACACGUAAGAGACACAAGUGAGGGAAGACACAUGAGAUACAGGUGAAGGGAGACACCUGAGAUAUAGGUAAGGGGAGACACGUAAGAGACACAAGUGA
Long non-coding RNA from Homarus americanus (American lobster), 208 nucleotides. RefSeq lists it as uncharacterized. Lineage: Eukaryota; Metazoa; Arthropoda; Malacostraca; Decapoda; Nephropidae. The record is from RefSeq and is a predicted model, not a curated record. The transcript has 3 exons.